RNAcentral lists this ribosomal RNA (497 nucleotides) under uncultured bacterium. RNAcentral's name for it is "partial 16S ribosomal RNA". It matches the Rfam family "Bacterial small subunit ribosomal RNA", at positions 28 to 507 of the family's 1533-position model. The record is from RNAcentral.
GAUGAACGCUGGCGGCGUGCCUAAUACAUGCAAGUCGAGCGAACAGAUGAGGAGCUUGCUCCUCUGACGUUAGCGGCGGACGGGUGAGUAACACGUGGAUAACCUACCUAUAAGACUGGGAUAACUUCGGGAAACCGGAGCUAAUACCGGAUAAUAUAUUGAACCGCAUGGUUCAAUAGUGAAAGACGGUUUUGCUGUCACUUAUAGAUGGAUCCGCGCCGCAUUAGCUAGUUGGUAAGGUAACGGCUUACCAAGGCAACGAUGCGUAGCCGACCUGAGAGGGUGAUCGGCCACGCUGGAACUGAGAAACGGUCCAGACUCCUACGGGAGGCAGCAGUAGGGAAUCUUCCGCAAUGGGCGAAAGCCUGACGGAGCAACGCCGCGUGAGUGAUGAAGGUCUUCGGAUCGUAAAACUCUGUUAUUAGGGAAGAACAAAUGUGUAAGUAACUAUGCACGUCUUGACGGUACCUAAUCAGAAAGCCACGGCUAACUACGUG